CCCAGAAGACAGAGCUUUUGUCAGCGGCUGCGGUGUCUCUGGUACACAAGUGCAUGCGCGUGUGUGGACGUGUGGAGUCCCGACAACAAAAAGGGGAGCUAGCUGGGGUGUCGGCAAGUACAAGAGCCCGUGCAAAGACUCCAAGAAAGUGCUGGAAAGAGGAAGAGAUGGGAUAUCAACCAUUAGACUUGGCAUCCUUCUCUUCUAAGAGAACUGGCAUGGCCUCACUUUCUCAGAAACCCAGAGAGGCUUGCUGCUCUUGUUCUCCUGCGAGCGAGCAACAAAAUGAAGAAAUUAAUAGGGGUGUGAAGCCAGGAGGGACGUCGCUGGCCCCUGGAGGAAGCAGGGCGACAUCCUGUACCCUUGAAAAGAAAACGGAAAGUCCUUUUCUUCACGAGAAACUAUUGUGUUUUCCUAACCCACAGGGACGUAGCAGCCUGCUGGAGCCCACCCCGAGGAGCCCUGUGCUAUAUGAUACAUGUCCUG
Molecule: long non-coding RNA, 486 nt
Organism: Suricata suricatta (meerkat)
Lineage: Eukaryota; Metazoa; Chordata; Mammalia; Carnivora; Herpestidae
Exons: 4
Source: RefSeq, a predicted model, not a curated record